GACGAACGCUGGCGGCGUGCUUAACACAUGCAAGUCGAACGGUAAGGCCCUUCGGGGUACACGAGUGGCGAACGGGUGAGUAACACGUGGGUGAUCUGCCCUGCACUUCGGGAUAAGCCUGGGAAACUGGGUCUAAUACCGGAUAGGACUCCGGACUGCAUGGUCUGGGGUGGAAAGCUUUUGCGGUGUGGGAUGGGCCCGCGGCCUAUCAGCUUGUUGGUGGGGUGCUGGCCUACCAAGGCGACGACGGGUAGCCGGCCUGCGACGGUGACCGGCCACACUGGGACUGAGAUACGGCCCAGACUCCUACGGGAGGCAGCAGUGGGGAAAAGUGCACAAUGGGCGCAAGCCUGAGGCAGCGACGCCGCGUGAGGGAUGACGGCCUUCGGGUUGUAAACCUCUUUCAGUAGGGACGAAGCGAAAGUGACGGUACCUAAAGAAGAAGCACCGGCUAACGACGUGCCAGCCGCCGCGGUAA
Molecule: ribosomal RNA, 478 nt
Filed under: uncultured bacterium
Lineage: Bacteria
Description: partial 16S ribosomal RNA
Rfam family: Bacterial small subunit ribosomal RNA
Source: RNAcentral